GUUUGAUUCUGGCUCAGAUUGAACGCUGGCGGGAUGCUUUACACAUGCAAGUCGAACGGCAGCCUGGACUUCGGUCUGGUGGCGAGUGGCGAACGGGUGAGUAAUGUAUCGGAACGUGCCUAGUAGCGGGGAUAACUACGCGAAAGCGUAGCUAAUACCGCAUACGCCCUUCGAGGAAAGCGGGGGGACCUUCGGGCCUCGCACUAUUAGAGCGGCCGAUAUCGGAUUGGCUGGUUGGUGGGGUAACGGCUCACCAAGGCGGCGGAAGUCCGUAGCUGGUUGAGAGAGGACGACCAACCACACUGGGACGCGAGACACGGCCAGACUCCUACAGGGAGCAGCAGUGAAAUUUUGGACAAUGGGGAAACCCUGAUCCAGCCAUCCCGCGUGUGCGAUGAAGGCCUUCAGGUUGUAAAAGCACUUUUGGCAGGAAAGAAACGGCACGGGAUAAUACCCCGUGCAACUGACCGGUACCUGCAGAAUAAGCACCGGCUAACUACGUGCCAGCAGCCGCGGUAAUACGUAGAGGGUGCAAGCGUUAAUCGGAAUUACUGGGCGUAAAGCGUGCGCAGGCGGUUCGGAAGAAGAUGUAGAAAUCCCAGAGCUUAACUUUGGAACUGCAUUUUUAACUACCGAGCUAGAGUGUGUCAGAGGAGGUGGAAUUCCGCGUGUAGCGGUGAUACGUAGAUAUGCGGAGGAACACCGAUAGCGAAGGCAGCCUCCUGGGAUAACACUGACGCUCAUGCGCGAUAAGGGAGCAAACAGGAUUAGAUACCCUGGUAGUCCACGCCCUAAACGAUGUCAACUAGCUGUUGGGGCCUUCGGGCCUUGGUAGCGCAACUAACGCGUGAGAUUGACCGCCUGGGAAAUUACGGUCGCAAGAUUAAAACUCAAAGGAAUUGGCGGGGACCCGCACAAGCGGUGGAUGAUGUGGAUUAAUUCGAUGCCCUUGCCGAAAAACCUUACCUACCCUUGACAUGUCUGGAAUCCGAAGAGAUUUGGGAGUGCUCGCAGAGGAACCCGGAACACAGGUGCUGCAUGGCUGUCGUCAGCUCGUGUCGUGAGAUGUUGGAGUUAAGUCCCGCAACGAGCGCAACCCUUGUCAUUAGUUGCCACGAAGGGCACUCUAUUAAGGACUGCCGGUGACAAACCGGAGGAAGGUGGGGAUGACGUCAAGUCCUCAUGGCCCAUAUGGGUAGGGCUUCACACGUCAUAUAAUGGUCGGGACAGAGGGUCGCCAACCCGCGAGGGGAGCCAAUCCCAGAAACCCGAUCGUAGUCCGGAUCGCAGUCUGCAACUCGACUGCGUGAAGUCGGAAUCGCUAGUAAUCGCGGAUCAGCAUGUCGCGGUGAAUACGUUCCCGGGUCUGAAGUACACACCGCCCGUCACACCAUGGGAAUUAGGUUUACCAAGUAGUUAGCCUAACCAUGGGAGGCGAUUACCACGGUAAGUUCAUGACUGGGGUGAAGUCGUAACAAGGUAG
This 1483-nucleotide ribosomal RNA is filed under the name uncultured Bordetella sp. RNAcentral describes it as "partial 16S-23S ribosomal RNA intergenic spacer". It matches the Rfam family "Bacterial small subunit ribosomal RNA". Lineage: Bacteria; Pseudomonadati; Pseudomonadota; Betaproteobacteria; Burkholderiales; Alcaligenaceae. The record is from RNAcentral.